Molecule: transfer RNA, 86 nt
Filed under: Felis catus (domestic cat)
Lineage: Eukaryota; Metazoa; Chordata; Mammalia; Carnivora; Felidae
Also listed under: 4 other names
Rfam family: tRNA
About the family: Transfer RNA (tRNA) molecules are approximately 80 nucleotides in length.
Source: Rfam by way of RNAcentral
ACCUGGGUGGCUCAGUCAGUUAAGCGUCUGACUUCGGAUCAGGUCCCUCAUCUGAUGGUUCGUGGGUUCGAGCCCCACAUUGGGCU